UAGAAAUUACUAAAAUCAUACCAAAAUGUAGAUCUAAACAAGCUAAACAACUUUACUUAAACAAUCAAAUGCAAAAACGAAAUAGAUUAAGAGUAAUUAAAGUUUCAAGAUUCAUAAACACAAAGAAAAACUGAAAGAUAAAGCAUAGAUCCUUUGGACAAACCCCAAAUGAUCUAUUUAUACUAAAAUGUUGGAAACCCAAGAUUCACUAGAAGACAAGAGACUUGAGGCGGUUUGGGCGAAUACUCGACCUUGGGGAUCGAGUAAAGAGGGUGCUGCAAAGUCUGCGCCUUUGUGUCUAUGCUUCGAGUGAUCAAUUGGUCGAGUAGAUGCUUCAUCCUCUCUUAUCCGUAUGCUGAGAUGUCUGGUUGAGUGGGGAAAGAGGAAGAUCCGAAGACGUUUUGAUAGCUCAACAAGUCUUGUAGAGAUGGUCACCCUUGGUCGAGUAAAUGGAUCGAGUAGGAGGGGCGAGUAGUUGAAUCUGCUGCUUCAUCUGAGGUUGUCUUGAUCGAGUAGGAGGGUCGAGUAAACUGCAGCCUCCUUUGAGGUAUCCUGGAUCGAGUAAAGAGGUCGGGUAGGAUGAUGCCUCUUCUGUAGCUGCCUGGAUCGAGUAAAGAGGUUGAGUAGGAUGAUGCCUCUUCUGUAGCUGCCUGAAUCGAGUGAAUGGAUCGAGUAGAGUCCUUUUAAGCUCCUUUUGCACCUGAAAACACAACAAAACAUGCA
Molecule: small RNA, 723 nt
Filed under: Arabidopsis thaliana (thale cress)
Lineage: Eukaryota; Viridiplantae; Streptophyta; Magnoliopsida; Brassicales; Brassicaceae
Description: ATSL205820
Source: RNAcentral